GGGGCUUUAGCUCAGUGGCAUGGGCGCCUGCCUUGCAAGCAGGCAGAUGUGAGUUCGAUCCCUGGUACCA
This is a non-coding RNA of Cavia porcellus (domestic guinea pig), 70 nucleotides long. Lineage: Eukaryota; Metazoa; Chordata; Mammalia; Rodentia; Caviidae. The record is from Rfam.